CGCGCUGACCUGAGCCGAAGGAAGGAUUCUCAGCCAAUCAGAGCGCUCGUGAGGCACCGGACAUUUGCCCACAGGCGUCAGAAAAAUUGCCCUUGUCUUCGGAAAAGGCCAAACCCAGUAGGCUCUGCCUGCUUCUCUACAGACAACCCUUGAACCUGCCUAUUUCAGUGAAACAGGCUUAACUGGGCACUCAGCCUCCGUGUAGUACUUUGUAACCAACGUCCUCCUCGCCCCAUCUUUGACCGGAAUUUCCACAUUUACCGCAAGGGAUGUUGAAUGGAUUUCCUUUUUUUUUCAGCUGUUGAACUUCCUCACUCCUUACGGCCACUUAGGCCGGCACUCUUUUAAAGUGGUCGCAAAAGCUCUGCUGUGUUGGCGGUGCGCGUCUCUGUUCGCUUUCAGACCGCGGCAUUUUCCGGUUCCUUAGGAACGAGGGCUGCGGCAUUCAGCCUUUUCCGAAGUCAGUCUGGUUCGUUGAAACCAGGAGUCUUCGAUUAGUUACUGGUUUCACUCAGUUGGUUUGAAGCCUCUGGCGGAUCCUUUAUCCGAGUUGACCUGUCCGGAGGGCAAAUUUUUGUUCGUAUCAACGGCGGAGCCGUUGCUCAAAGUCGGGCGAGUUGCCCCGGUUGGAGAAGGAGUUUUUCCUUCUAUCACUGGAGGAGCCGUUGGCCAAAGUUGGCCUAGUUGGCCUCUCUGGAGAGUGAGUUUUUGCUGGUAUCCUAGGAGCUGUUGGUCAAAUUUUCCUAGAGAAGGAAGUUUCGAUCGGGUCGUUGGAGCUGUUGACCAUAAUCGGCCCAGUUGUCCCACCUGGAGGAGGAGUUUUUGCUGGUAUUCUGGCUCAAGUUGCUCAGGAAAAUAUGGAUUUUCCGGCGUUCGUUGGGGCGGACGCGGUGAGGGGCGGGGAAGCUCAGUCCGUCCUCCGGAAAAGAAGGUCGCCCUGAAGCCCACAUCGCGAUGACCGGACAUGGAUGACCACAUCCCUACAGUCCUCCCUAGCUCCCACCGCCAUGUCCGGAUGGCGUGGUCUCGGCGGCCAUGUCCCUACAGACCGCACGCUAACGUCCGCGUCCCUGUCCCUACCAUCCACGUCCCACCGACCGCGUUCCAGAGGCUGUGGCCGGGUGACCACUUUCCUACAGACCACAACCUAAUGCCCGCGUCCUUGUCAUCUCCUUCCUCGUCUCAGGGGCCACGUCCCGGCGGCCAAGCGUGGACGACCAUCCCGCUACGGAGCAGGUGCCGACACCCCCAUCCUGACGUCCACACCUGGGACGAGAAGAGUUGCUGGUUGGAGGAGCUCCCGGGCGGCCCGCCCGAGUGGGCCCUGGGCCGCAGAGCCAGAGGAGUGUCCCAAAUGGUUCCUCUGCCCCCAUCUUGGCAUGGGGGUGGCUGGCUCUUUCUGGUGGGGGCGGGCGGGCUCCCCUCCGAGGGCUCGAUUAGGGCCAGAGGCCCAGGAAGGUCGGGGGUCUGGGGGUCUUGGGGGUCUGGGGCUCUGGGAGAACAUUUCUGAUUUCUCUGUCAGCGGCAGAUCCGCGUCUAAUCAAAAGCCUUAAUUAAAAAAAAUUCGCUGGUA
This is a long non-coding RNA of Ornithorhynchus anatinus (platypus), 1573 nucleotides long. RefSeq lists it as uncharacterized. The transcript is spliced from 2 exons. Lineage: Eukaryota; Metazoa; Chordata; Mammalia; Monotremata; Ornithorhynchidae. The record is from RefSeq and is a predicted model, not a curated record.